UUGUGAAAUAUGAAAUAUCCUCGUCAUCAAGCUCCAUCGCCUUCGUGUAAUGCGCUAUUGCAGUCUCGAAAUCCUUUGUCUUAUAAGCUGCAUUCCCCAACUCCUUCUCUUUCACCGCUUGAGCUUUCCUCUCCUUCGUUUCUUUCUCCUCUUCUGAGACCUCCAUUGGUUCUGGCUCUGGCUCAGGAACCUUCUCCUCCUUUGCUGACUCUGGCUUUCUCUCCGGCUGAGGAGGAGGCGACUCGGCUUCCGGCACCUCCAUAUCUUCUCCAGCAUUUGGUGCUCUGAAUUUCACGUUCAAUAAAACACCCAAGGCUUGCAUCACUCUCUGAUCUUUCAAGUACAGAUUCAAAUUGCUAGGAUUCUUUUGAAUCUCCUGCAUCAUCUUAACAAAAUCCGGUUGCUGCAGAAACAUCCUCGUAGUUGGAUCCGCCGUCAAUUUGGCCCACAUCUCCGGCCCAGAGAAGGCAUCCCCAAACGGACUCGGCGGCGGCACGGCUCGCGACCUGGAAGCUGCGGCCUGAGCAUCAGCCAAACCGGAUUUCAACGCUUCAUUGUUGGGAUCAAUCUCGAGUCCCUUCUUAUACGCCGCGAUAGCAUCCUGAAUUUGGUUUAAUCCCAAGUGUGCCGCGCCAAGGCGGGAAUACCCUUUAGACCAGUCGGGCUUAAGCUCGACGGUCUUCUUGGCAUCGGUUAACGCGUCAGCGUAUUUGUGAAGAGAGGCAAGAGCCGCGGAUCGGUUAGAGUAGAGGACGUGGUUAGAGGGAGCGAGUGAUAUUGCUUCACUGAAGUGUCUGACGGCGCCGGCAUAAUCGCCGGCCGAGAAUGCGGCGUUACCUUUGGCUUUGGCUUCGUCAGCCAUAGAAAGAAAGCUCGAGGAAAAGACAGAAGUCGCAAAAGAGUGGGCUCUGGGGGAUUUCGAAGAAAUUGAGAUAUGGGAGCAGUGACUUAAGAGAGAAGCAUGGAUAAAGAGAAGAGACCGGCAUUAUAAGAAAGAAGGUCAAGGACCAGAGAGUUCUGGUGAUUCGUGAAGAGGGUGUUCUGGAAUGUUCCGCGGCAUAAACGAGGGCUUGGAUUCGCUCGUGGGUGGUUCACAGAUUGGUGGUGUUUGGAUGCGCUUGUAUGGAAAUAUUAUCUAGAACGCAGCGUUUUGUAAACUGAAUGCAACCCGAU
RNAcentral lists this unclassified non-coding RNA (1173 nucleotides) under Hevea brasiliensis (rubber tree). Lineage: Eukaryota; Viridiplantae; Streptophyta; Magnoliopsida; Malpighiales; Euphorbiaceae. The record is from RNAcentral.